Molecule: long non-coding RNA, 218 nt
Filed under: Salvia miltiorrhiza (redroot sage)
Lineage: Eukaryota; Viridiplantae; Streptophyta; Magnoliopsida; Lamiales; Lamiaceae
Description: long non-coding RNA (SMIL_LNC012354)
Source: RNAcentral
AGGGGGUCAAAUCGAACGAAGGGCCGGCUGAUGAAAGGGAUUGUUGUUGGUUUUGGGUUUGGAUCAAGGGAGAAAUCGGACAGAUGCAAGAUGGUGCUGGGCUAGUCGAGGGGGGGAGUGCAGCUGGUAGAGGUGGCGGCGGUGCAGCGUUGUCACAACAGCGGUGGCAGAGAGGAUGGCGGAGGGGCCGGAGAUGGCGGUAGAAGAGUGGUUGCUGC